CAGUAGCCGCGGGAAUACGAAGGGGGCUAGCGUUGCUCGGAAUGACUGGGCGUAAAGGGCGCGUAGGCGGUUCGUACAGUCAGAUGUGAAAUUCCUGGGCUUAACCUGGGGGCUGCAUUUGAUACGUGCGGGCUUGAGUGGGGAAGAGGGUCGUGGAAUUCCCAGUGUAGAGGUGAAGUUCGUAGAUAUUGGGAAGAACACCGGUGGCGAAGGCGGCGACCUGGUCCUUGACUGACGCUGAGGCGCGAAAGCGUGGGGAGCAAACAGGAUUAGAUACCCCUGUAGUCCCUGUCUCUUAUAC
RNAcentral lists this ribosomal RNA (301 nucleotides) under uncultured bacterium. RNAcentral describes it as "partial 16S ribosomal RNA". It matches the Rfam family "Bacterial small subunit ribosomal RNA", at positions 509 to 807 of the family's 1533-position model. The record is from RNAcentral.